RNAcentral lists this long non-coding RNA (277 nucleotides) under Capsicum annuum. Its description in RNAcentral is "long non-coding RNA (CANN_LNC012410)". Lineage: Eukaryota; Viridiplantae; Streptophyta; Magnoliopsida; Solanales; Solanaceae. The record is from RNAcentral.
GAUGAUUGAGGAUUUUGGCAUAAAUAGAUUGGGGGUUGUAUGCUAGUUUUAAGAUUGGAUUCUCAUUGGUUCGCAUUCAUAUGAACAAAUUUGUUUUACUAGUUAUUAUUAAAUAAACUAAAGUUCUGUAAUAUACUAAUCUAUAUUUUUUGGUAUUCUAAAGAUCAUUAAACUAAACUGGUGUUGGGCCUUAAAAUCAGUAUUGAAAAAGUAAAACUUUUAAGGUAAUAUUUGGGUCUUAUGACUAAUUUUUUACCUAAAAAAUAGUUCAAUGUAU